RNAcentral lists this non-coding RNA (30 nucleotides) under Mus musculus (house mouse). The record is from RNAcentral. Lineage: Eukaryota; Metazoa; Chordata; Mammalia; Rodentia; Muridae.
UCACUAUGUAGCCCUGACUAGCCUGGAAAC